This 306-nucleotide ribosomal RNA is filed under the name uncultured bacterium. RNAcentral describes it as "bacterial SSU rRNA". It matches the Rfam family "Bacterial small subunit ribosomal RNA", at positions 28 to 334 of the family's 1533-position model. The record is from RNAcentral.
GACGAACGCUGGCGGCGUGCCUAACACAUGCAAGUCGAACGGGGUAGUUCCUUCGGGGACUACUUAGUGGCGAACGGGUGAGUAACGCGUGAGAAACCUGCCUUUCAGUGGGGGACAACAGUUGGAAACGACUGCUAAUACCGCAUAAUGUUUCGAGAGGGCAUCCUUUUGAAACCAAAGCUUUAUGUGCUGAAAGAUGGUCUCGCGUCUGAUUAGCUAGUUGGUGAGGUAACGGCUCACCAAGCCGACGAUCUUUAGCUGGUCUGAGAGGAUGAUCAGCCACACUGGGACUGAGACACGGCCCAG